Non-coding RNA from Malus domestica (apple), 179 nucleotides. The record is from RefSeq and is a predicted model, not a curated record. Lineage: Eukaryota; Viridiplantae; Streptophyta; Magnoliopsida; Rosales; Rosaceae.
ACCUUAAAAGUCGAGAAACCUCGUCGACAUCCAAAACCGAAAACCGAAAACCGAAAAGAUGUUCCCCUAAAUCCGCUUUCAAAAUCUUUGUUCCCACCUCCCCCUUUCCUCGACUCUCACUCGACCGCCCUUCCCUUGGUUAGGGCUUUGUAUUCCUCAAACCAGAGAAAAUUUUGGAA